AUGCUUGGGGCCGGCCUAGAUUCACGCGAACGUUUUUGUUCGCUUUUUUUGUGGGCUGGGGCAAGUGCUCAGGAGGCCGUAGUAAAUAAAGGGUAUGAAGAGGAAGCGGGACCCGUGGUAAUUAAGAGGUGGACAGCGAGUUAUGAAGUCCAUUUCUUCCUUCUCUCUCUAUUCUUCUCUGUCAAAUCUGAAGAUCUCUGCAGCGGAACAAAGGAAUCGUUGUGCUCCUCCACGGCCAGUGAGAGGAUGGGCGAAGCUGCUGAUGGAGAGAUGGUUUGCAGAGUUUGUCGGAGCCCUUGCAACCGCGACAGCAGGGGAAGCAGCAUCAGCAUGUAUGUCUGGAAGGAGUUCAAAAUGGAGGGGUUGUGCCAUGCAAGGAAAGGGUUCGUUUCAAGAACCUGA
RNAcentral lists this ribosomal RNA (402 nucleotides) under Triticum aestivum (bread wheat). RNAcentral describes it as "partial small subunit ribosomal RNA". The record is from RNAcentral. Lineage: Eukaryota; Viridiplantae; Streptophyta; Magnoliopsida; Poales; Poaceae.